Molecule: long non-coding RNA, 321 nt
Organism: Peromyscus californicus insignis
Lineage: Eukaryota; Metazoa; Chordata; Mammalia; Rodentia; Cricetidae
Exons: 3
Source: RefSeq, a predicted model, not a curated record
GGUUUAUUUGACUUUGUUCAGUUCACAGUAGAAAGCUGUUUAUUCUCAAAGAACAAACCAAGAAAUGAUCCAGAUCUAUGAGACCAUGCAAGGAGGCCUCUCCUAUGAUCACAACCCAGGAAAGUGCCACCAUUAAAACAGAAUGAAGAGCAGUGUGUGUGUGGAUUGGAGACAGAAAUGCGUGCAUGCACUGCUUUUACAUAAGAGACUGUGCUAAUGUUCAGCAAAUUAUGAGUCGAGAGCUGGAGUGAAAUGAUUUUCCUUCAAACGUGCAGCACAUUGAUGUAUAAAGCAGACGGUAAGUGGGAUGCUUUUGACAAG